UCGGGUUAACUAAGAAGGGCUUUUCUCAUAUACAACCAAUUUUCCCAAACUUAUUACUUUUAUACAGCUCUUACUUUUAUAUCUCUAAAAUACGGUACACGCUACUAAUAUUAUCUUUUGUAACCUAAAUCUAAUUAGAAGAACAUCUUCUUCUUCUGAACUUAGCCGCCGCUCACUAUCACCCCACUGUUGUCGUUCUCCUUCAUCAUUGUUACGCUACUGCCGUCGUUUCUCCUUCAAUCAUUCUGCUACCGUUGCAGUCGUUCCUCCUUCAAUCGUUCUGCUAUCGUUGCAGUUGUUCCCUUCGUUAUUAUUAUGUUGUCGCCGUCGUUCCUCCUUCACCGUCGUUCCACUACUGUUGUCGUCGUUUCUUUGUCUCCACUAUUUUUCUAGAUCUAAUAGAUCUACUCUUAUAUUUACUCUGCUGAAGUUCUGCUCCAAAUUCAUGAUGACUGUGAAGGGAAAAGAUGAAGGAUGCGGGAGGAAGCAGAUGACUAUAGUUGGCAAAUGAAUUGUAAAGAGAAUGCGCCUUGGUCUUUUGUGUUUUCUUUGUACUUAAGUUACUCAUCUUAUGAUAUUUUAUUGAAAAUUCCAAUUUCAUUCUUAUUAUACAAUAGUGUCGAUCUUGUGUUGAUUUUAUGUUGAAUUUCGGUUGAUAUUUUGUUGAUUUUAGCAUUGGUGAAUAAGAUAAUAAUUAUGUUA
Mercurialis annua (annual mercury) is the source of this 702-nucleotide long non-coding RNA. RefSeq lists it as uncharacterized. The transcript is spliced from 2 exons. Lineage: Eukaryota; Viridiplantae; Streptophyta; Magnoliopsida; Malpighiales; Euphorbiaceae. The record is from RefSeq and is a predicted model, not a curated record.